CAUGGUAGAUGACAAUUUUCCUCCCUCAUCUUCUGUAGCAAAGAAGCAAAUUAAGAGCCUUUUGCAAGUUAGAUUAGGGGACUGAAAAAUCCAGGGAGAUAACCUGAUUCUUCUGUACUAUGACUGGAGUAAAGCUGCCAAGAGUUAGGUUGAAUUUGGAGCCCUUUAAAAGUUGGUUCCAUAAGUGAGAAGGAGGGGCUAACAUGUGACCACUGUGCCCCUGAGAAUCCAUGAGAUGGAAAAGUACAGGCAAGAAGGCACUUAACGCUGUUCUCAGUUGGAAAAUGUCAGCCCUCCACACCUGUUUGGAUGUGAAGUGCAUUAUUAAUUUUAAUGACAAAAUGAAACUGCUAAUUAGUUUAAAUAUAAUGUUUAAAUGGUAUUGAAUUUCCUAUUGCCUGAUUAAAUAUAUCUGUAAUUGUAACAUCAUGUUUCUGAGAGCUUUAACGACUUCCUUAUUUUUAUGCAAUCAUUUUAAAGAUUGUGGUUAUAUCUAAUUUAAAUUUGCUGAUGAUUGAAUCUAAAUUCAAGUGAAGACCACAGCAUUAAUCCCAAAGGAGAAUUUUUUUAUGUUUAGAGGUGGAGAUAUUAGGGUAAUUCAGUAUAUUGCUCCUGUCAUCAAAGUUUUUGUUCAUUUGUGUGCCACAUCGAAUAGCAGCACUUCUCAAAGUUUGUCAACUGGAAAAGAAAAAGUGUUUAAAACUGUUUUUUCUUAAGCAAAUUUGGUGAUGUCAUCCAUAUCUAUGAUAUCGAUUGGUAAAAGGUCUGUCUUUGUUGAGGAUUUGAGCUCUCUUUUUAAGAGUUUAUUUUAUUUUAAAGGAACACAUACUUUGAAUAACAAUUCUCUGGGCAUGUUUAACUAACCUAGGUGGGAAAACCAUGGUGCUGUUUAAUUGUAAAUAGAUUGAUAUAAGAUUGGACCAGUACUUGAUGUGUAUAAUUUUAGUAUGUAGGGUUUAUGUGCUUUUUUUAAAAAAAAAAAAAAAAAGAUUCAAUUUUUCUCUUUGUCUUUGCCUUUAUUAUUGGUUUCUAAUUGUUUUUACUCUCUAUAAGGGUAAUUGCCUCAUUCUAAGUGAGAAUUGUGAAGGUUUUCCUCCUUUUUAAAACCUCUGCUCAAUAAAUAACAGGUUCAUUAUCACCAAA
RNAcentral lists this long non-coding RNA (1143 nucleotides) under Pongo abelii (Sumatran orangutan). RNAcentral's name for it is "lncRNA (ENSPPYG00000032780.1)". The record is from RNAcentral. Lineage: Eukaryota; Metazoa; Chordata; Mammalia; Primates; Hominidae.